UGUAUAAACCUGGCCCAAUAAAUUAAUUAUCUAAAGUCGACCCAAUUGAAACUGGAUAUGCCCGAUAAAUCUUUCAUAAAAAUCGGCCCAGUACAAACUGCAGGUCAUGUUAUUGAAAACGACAAGGUCAUCCUCAUUUUCGAAAACUGGAGUCAUCCUCAACCUCUAGUUGGGUUGAAAUUGACUCGGUUUCGGCCUGCCUCAUAAUCA
Molecule: long non-coding RNA, 210 nt
Filed under: Olea europaea (common olive)
Lineage: Eukaryota; Viridiplantae; Streptophyta; Magnoliopsida; Lamiales; Oleaceae
Description: long non-coding RNA (OEUR_LNC012053)
Source: RNAcentral